GGAUUAGAUACCCUGGUAGUCCGCGCCGUAAACGAUGCACACUAGAUCGUGGCACCUCUCACGGUGUCACGGUCGAAGGUAAACUGAUUAGUGUGCCGCCUGGGGAGUACGGUCGCAAGGCUAAAACUCAAAGGAAUUGACGGGGGCUCACACAAGCGGUGGAGCAUGUUGCUUAAUUCGAGACAACGCGAAGAACCUUACCUGGGUUUGACAUGUAUGGAUUAACUCUCUGAAAGGAGAGCCACGCCCUUUGGGUGCAACAUACACAGGUGCUGCAGGGCUGUCGUCAGCUCGUGUCG
RNAcentral lists this ribosomal RNA (299 nucleotides) under uncultured bacterium. RNAcentral describes it as "partial 16S ribosomal RNA". It matches the Rfam family "Bacterial small subunit ribosomal RNA", at positions 775 to 1067 of the family's 1533-position model. The record is from RNAcentral.